AAUUCGAUUGAGUUUGAUCAUGGCUCAGAACGAACGCUGGCGGCGUGGAUAAGACAUGCAAGUCGAGCGCUAAUUUGAAGGUAGCAAUAUUUUCAAGUUGGAGCGGCGCAAGGGUGCGUAACACGUGGGUAAUUUGCCGAGAAGUUGGGGAUAACUUGCUGAAAGGCGGGCUAAUACCGAAUGUGACGUUUGGAAGGCAUCUUCUGAAUUUCAAAGUUGGGGACCGUAAGGCCUGACGCUUCUUGAUAAGCCCGCGGCCUAUCAGCUAGUUGGUGAGGUAAUGGCUCACCAAGGCUAAGACGGGUAGCUGGUCUGAGAGGACGACCAGCCACACUGGAACUGAGACACGGUCCAGACACCUACGGGUGGCAGCAGUCGAGAAUUUUUCUCAAUGGGCGAAAGCCUGAAGGAGCGACGCCGCGUGGGGGAUGAAUGGCUUCGGCCCGUAAACCCCUGUCAUUUGCGAACAAACCUUACGAUUUAAUAGAUCGUGAGCUGAUUGUAGCGAAAGAGGAAGGGACGGCUAACUCUGUGCCAGCAGCCGCGGUAAUACAGAGGUCCCAAGCGUUGUUCGGAUUCACUGGGCGUAAAGGGUGCGUAGGUGGUCGGGUAAGUCUGAUGUGAAAUCUCCGAGCUUAACUCGGAAAUGGCAUUGGAUACUAUUCGGCUAGAGGGUUUGAGGGGGGA
RNAcentral lists this ribosomal RNA (687 nucleotides) under uncultured bacterium. RNAcentral's name for it is "bacterial SSU rRNA". It matches the Rfam family "Bacterial small subunit ribosomal RNA", at positions 1 to 660 of the family's 1533-position model. The record is from RNAcentral.